Molecule: small nuclear RNA, 107 nt
Organism: Chlorocebus sabaeus (green monkey)
Lineage: Eukaryota; Metazoa; Chordata; Mammalia; Primates; Cercopithecidae
Source: Ensembl
GUACUCGCUUUGGCAGCACAUAUACUAAAAUUGGAACAAUACAGAGAAGAUUAGCAUGGCUCCUGCACAAAGAUGACACGCAAAUUUGUGAAGCGUUCCAUAUUUUU